Molecule: long non-coding RNA, 826 nt
Filed under: Homo sapiens (human)
Lineage: Eukaryota; Metazoa; Chordata; Mammalia; Primates; Hominidae
Description: long non-coding RNA NONHSAT202054.1
Source: RNAcentral
CCAUGUUUGACCGUGAGAACAAGGCCGGCGUGAACUUCAGCGAGUUCACGGGUGUGUGGAAGUACAUCACGGACUGGCAGAACGUCUUCCGCACGUACGACCGGGACAACUCCGGGAUGAUCGAUAAGAACGAGCUGAAGCAGGCCCUCUCAGGUUUCGGCUACCGGCUCUCUGACCAGUUCCACGACAUCCUCAUUCGAAAGUUUGACAGGCAGGGACGGGGGCAGAUUGCCUUCGACGACUUCAUCCAGGGCUGCAUCGUCCUGCAGAGGUUGACGGAUAUAUUCAGACGUUACGACACGGAUCAGGACGGCUGGAUUCAGGUGUCGUACGAACAGUACCUGUCCAUGGUCUUCAGUAUCGUAUGACCCUGGCCUCUCGUGAAGAGCAGCACAACAUGGAAAGAGCCAAAAUGUCACAGUUCCUAUCUGUGAGGGAAUGGAGCACAGGUGCAGUUAGAUGCUGUUCUUCCUUUAGAUUUUGUCACGUGGGGACCCAGCUGUACAUAUGUGGAUAAGCUGAUUAAUGGUUUUGCAACUGUAAUAGUAGCUGUAUCGUUCUAAUGCAGACAUUGGAUUUGGUGACUGUCUCAUUGUGCCAUGAGGUAAAUGUAAUGUUUCAGGCAUUCUGCUUGCAAAAAAAUCUAUCAUGUGCUUUUCUAGAUGUCUCUGGUUCUAUAGUGCAAAUGCUUUUAUUAGCCAAUAGGAAUUUUAAAAUAACAUGGAACUUACACAAAAGGCUUUUCAUGUGCCUUACUUUUUUAAAAAGGAGUUUAUUGUAUUCAUUGGAAUAUGUGACGUAAGCAAUAAAGGGAAUGUUAGACGUG